This 370-nucleotide long non-coding RNA is filed under the name Chinchilla lanigera (long-tailed chinchilla). RNAcentral describes it as "lncRNA (ENSCLAG00000024302.1)". Lineage: Eukaryota; Metazoa; Chordata; Mammalia; Rodentia; Chinchillidae. The record is from RNAcentral.
UUUUAUCAUUAAUUUUGUGAGAUUUCUAAUAGUUUUUGACAGUUGACUGUUGUCUUUUAUCCACAGGCACUGAGUUUGUUUAUUUAUGAAUUGAAAAUCACUACACACAUUCUUUUUGUAUUUUAUGGAAAAAAAGAGGGUAUGAGCUCCCAGAUGGCACGGUCUGUUCCCAGACGCAAAGCCUGAGACCCGUGGUAUCAGCUCAUCUCACCACUUUGCCCUGAUUACUGAAGUUCUAAUACGUGACAGCCAUUGUGCGGGGCCCCAGAGAUAGAGUGGCAACAGUGUGAUCUGCUCUGAUGGAGCCUACAGUUUGGUGUGAGAAACAUAUAUUAAAUAAAUAUGCUCAUAAAGAUUAAAUAAAUUUAAA